Long non-coding RNA from Hyaena hyaena (striped hyena), 211 nucleotides. RefSeq lists it as uncharacterized. The transcript has 2 exons. Lineage: Eukaryota; Metazoa; Chordata; Mammalia; Carnivora; Hyaenidae. The record is from RefSeq and is a predicted model, not a curated record.
UGUCAGAUCUGCCACUUCCCCUGCCGAGCGGCGGCGAGACGUGUGGGAACCCGCGCCGCCAGGCUCACCUGCCUCCCCGCCCUCCACUCCCAGGGAUCUGAGAAUUGCUCUCACACACCAAACCAGCAGCGUCCGUGGAGAAAACUCUCACGAGCAACUCCUUUAAAACACCGUCAUUGCAAACCAUUGUGGUCUUUAAGCAACAACAACA